This 73-nucleotide transfer RNA is filed under the name Candidatus Jorgensenbacteria bacterium. RNAcentral's name for it is "tRNA-Glu". It matches the Rfam family "tRNA". From Rfam's summary of the family: Transfer RNA (tRNA) molecules are approximately 80 nucleotides in length. Their secondary structure includes four short double-helical elements and three loops (D, anti-codon, and T loops). The record is from RNAcentral. Lineage: Bacteria; Candidatus Joergenseniibacteriota. RNAcentral also lists the same sequence under 1 other name.
GGCCCCAUCGUCUAGUGGCUUAGGACGCUGCCCUCUCACGGCAGAAACCGGGGUUCGACUCCCCGUGGGGUCA